UAUAAAUAAACAAACGUGCUAUCAGUUUAUCAGUAAUGUGUGUAGUGUAUGGAUGUGUGAAGGUGUAUGAAUGUUGGAACCCAAA
This is a long non-coding RNA of Etheostoma spectabile (orangethroat darter), 85 nucleotides long. RefSeq lists it as uncharacterized. The record is from RefSeq and is a predicted model, not a curated record. Lineage: Eukaryota; Metazoa; Chordata; Actinopteri; Perciformes; Percidae. The transcript has 3 exons.